This 447-nucleotide ribosomal RNA is filed under the name uncultured bacterium. RNAcentral describes it as "bacterial SSU rRNA". It matches the Rfam family "Bacterial small subunit ribosomal RNA", at positions 355 to 825 of the family's 1533-position model. The record is from RNAcentral.
UAACGAAUCUUCCGCAAUGGGCGCAAGCCUGACGGAGCAAUGCCGCGUGUGGGAUGAAGCGUCUCUGACGUGUAAACCACUGUCAGGGGUUAGAAACAAUGAUCAACCCCAAAGGAAGUGGCGACUAACUCUGUGCCAGCAGUCGCGGUAAUACAGAGGCCACAAGCGUUAGUCGGAAUCACUGGGCUUAAAGGGUGCGUAGGCUGGUCCGCAAGCGUCUUGUGAAAGCCCUCGGCUCAACCGAGGAACAGCAGGGCGAACUGCGGAUCUUGAGGCAGGUAGGGGUCGCGAGAACAGUAGGUGGAGCGGUGAAAUGCGUAGAUAUCUACUGGAAUGCCGAUGGUGAAGACGCGCGACUGGGCCUGUCCUGACGCUGAGGCACGAAAGCGUGGGGAGCAAACAGGAUUAGAUACCCAGGUAGUCCCUGAGCGGGCUGGCAAGGCGCAU